CUAUUGUCUAGAGGUUUGUAUGGACCUAUAGCUUUAAGGGAGUCAGUCCUGGCCCAAUCCUGAAUAGGAUAUUCAAUGUCCAGGAGGCAUUCAUGCUGCCUUUAGUCCAGUCAAAAUAUUGAUCCGGCAUUUUUUCUUCUGUUUGAAGCUGUGGACUCCAGGUCACUUAUGUUCCAUUUUUCCAUGGACUCUAGGUCACAUGUGUCCUGAUUUUAAAAUAACCUUUUUGCAAGUUUCUCAGCAAAAGCCUGCAGCUGCUGUUUGUGCUCUGCUGCUCAGGAAGUCAACAAGGGCUUAUUUCCCUAUCUGCUUAACUUUAUCUCUUCCUCCUGACCUCAAUAUCAUAGGUGCAUAGCAACAGGAUUUAUCACUAUCAAUGAUGACCUUUAUCAAUUAACAGAAUUUAUAAGGUUUUUGUUUUGUUUUGUUUUAUGCUGGUGAUUGAACCAAGAGGCACUUUACCACUGAGUUACCUCCCCAGCCCUUUUGAUUUUUUAUUUUGAGACAGGGUCUUAUUAAGUUGCUUAGGACCUCCCUAAGUUGCUGAGGAUGGCUUUGAACUUGGGAUCCUCCUGCCUCAGUCUCCCGAGUUGCUGGAAUUACAGGCAUGCAACAUCAUGCUCUGCUGUAAAAUUUGCUGUUCCCCACCUUUCAUUACUUUAUAUUUUUGGAAAUCUGUAUGAACAGCCAACACUUAAAGAAUGGGGGAGUUAGCCAGGCACAGUGGCACACACACC
This 737-nucleotide long non-coding RNA is filed under the name Marmota monax (woodchuck). The record is from RNAcentral. Lineage: Eukaryota; Metazoa; Chordata; Mammalia; Rodentia; Sciuridae.